This 453-nucleotide ribosomal RNA is filed under the name uncultured bacterium. RNAcentral's name for it is "bacterial SSU rRNA". It matches the Rfam family "Bacterial small subunit ribosomal RNA", at positions 340 to 786 of the family's 1533-position model. The record is from RNAcentral.
UACGGAAGGCAGCAGUGGGGAAUAUUGCACAAUGGGCGCAAGCCUGAUGCAGCCAUGCCGCGCGUAUGAAGAAGGCCUUCGGGUUGUAAAGUACUUUCAGUCGUGAGGAAGGUGUUAAGGUUAAUAACCUUAGCAAUUGACGUUAGCGACAGAAGAAGCACCGGCUAACUCCGUGCCAGCAGCCGCGGUAAUACGGAGGGUGCGAGCGUUAAUCGGAAUUACUGGGCGUAAAGGGCACGCAGGCGGUUAAUUAAGUUGGAUGUGAAAUCCCCGGGCUUAACCUGGGAAUGGCAUUCAAGACUGGUUAGCUAGAGUCUUGUAGAGGGGGUAGAAUUCCAUGUGUAGCGGUGAAAUGCGUAGAGAUGUGGAGGAAUACCGGUGGCGAAGGCGGCCCCUGGACAAAGACUGACGCUCAUGUGCGAAAGCGUGGGGAGCAAACAGGGAUUAGAUACC